Molecule: small nucleolar RNA, 82 nt
Organism: Acanthochromis polyacanthus (spiny chromis)
Lineage: Eukaryota; Metazoa; Chordata; Actinopteri; Pomacentridae
Source: Ensembl
CCCGUGACUGAAUGAUGAAAUAAAUGUUGGUAGGGACAUCUGAGUCAAUGUGAAGAAAUGCCAACAUUUCUGACCUCAUGGG